Molecule: ribosomal RNA, 484 nt
Filed under: uncultured bacterium
Lineage: Bacteria
Description: partial 16S ribosomal RNA
Rfam family: Bacterial small subunit ribosomal RNA
Source: RNAcentral
ACUCAAAGGAAUAGACGGGGACCCGCACAAGCGGUGGAGCGUGUGGUUUAAUUCGAUGCUACGCGAAGAACCUUACCAAGGCUUGACAUCCUAGGAAGGCCCUAGAAAUAGGGCUGUGCCUUCGGGAGCCUAGUGACAGGUGAUGCAUGGCUGUCGUCAGCUCGUGUCGUGAGAUGUUAGGUUAAGUCCUUCAACGAGCGCAACCCUCGUGAAUAGUUGUAUAUGUCUAUUCAGACUGCCUCGGUAACGGGGAGGAAGGAGAGGAUGACGCCUGGUCCGUAUUUCCCUUAUGUCUUGGGCAACACACACGCUACAAUGGCCGGUACAAUGGGCAGCUAAGCAGCAAUGCGGUGCUAACCUCAUCAAAACCGGUCUCAGUUCGGAUUGUAGGCUGAAACUCGCCUACAUGAAGUCGGAAUCGCUAGUAACCGUAGGUCAGCACACUACGGUGAAUACGUUCCCGGGUCUUGUACACACCGCCCGU